RNAcentral lists this ribosomal RNA (277 nucleotides) under uncultured Streptococcaceae bacterium. RNAcentral's name for it is "partial 16S ribosomal RNA". It matches the Rfam family "Bacterial small subunit ribosomal RNA", at positions 505 to 782 of the family's 1533-position model. The record is from RNAcentral. Lineage: Bacteria; Bacillati; Bacillota; Bacilli; Lactobacillales; Streptococcaceae.
GUGCCAGCAGCCGCGGUAAUACGUAGGUCCCGAGCGUUGUCCGGAUUUAUUGGGCGUAAAGCGAGCGCAGGCGGUUAGAUAAGUCUGAAGUUAAAGGCUGUGGCUUAACCAUAGUACGCUUUGGAAACUGUUUAACUUGAGUGCAUGAGGGGAGAGUGGAAUUCCAUGUGUAGCGGUGAAAUGCGUAGAUAUAUGGAGGAACACCGGUGGCGAAAGCGGCUCUCUGGCUUGUAACUGACGCUGAGGCUCGAAAGCGUGGGGAGCAAACAGGAUUAGA